RNAcentral lists this long non-coding RNA (758 nucleotides) under Mytilus galloprovincialis (Mediterranean mussel). Lineage: Eukaryota; Metazoa; Mollusca; Bivalvia; Mytilida; Mytilidae. The record is from RNAcentral.
GUUGUUUUAUUCAGAUGGAGUAAGUUUUAAUGCUCAAAAUUACUGACUGUAUUUAACAGGUAAUUAAUUAUUCAUUGUUAUAACAACACCUAUGGUAUUUUGUUUGUAGGCAUAGGUUGAAUAUAUAUUUUUCAAAUGUUGGCAUAGGUUGAAGACACCGCUCAUUUUCGCCACAUCUUUCCAUGUUUUCUACAGUUUAUGUUCAGGUCUAAAUGUUUUUGAAGUAUACUGAUAUUUCUAUAUGAAGAUAACUUCAAAUGAAAAAUAUACUUAAGCUUGAAAACCGGUUUGUUUUAAGAAAAUCAUCUGAAAAGUUAGAUUAAAGGGUGUUUGAAAUUUCCGGAUGUUUUGUCAAUGGGGACACAUAUUCGCCGUUUUUACACAUCUAUUUAAAACCAAAUAACCGCAGCUUUUAACAAUUUUUAUCAAAUCAAUUGCAUUAUAGAUGAAUAGCAGACAUUUCAAAUGUAUAAAGAAUUCAAAAUUAGGACAUUCAGUCAAAUAUUUACUUAGAAAUACUUCUUUGAAAUCGUGUUUUUUAUUCAGGAAAUUGUCCGAAAAUCGUUGUCCGUUUUUCGGUCAUUUUCGGUAGGAGCCACAAUUUUGUCUCCGUUUAAAAAAAGAUUAUAUUUGUUAUAAAAAUAUAAUUUACGGGUACAUUUCUUCCAUUUCAGCCAUCCUUUGAAGUUUUUACACCUCAAAACCCUUAAACGGCGAAAUUGUGUCCCAGGCGAAAAUGAGCACCCCACUCUACAUGU